This 370-nucleotide unclassified non-coding RNA is filed under the name Bombus terrestris (buff-tailed bumblebee). RNAcentral describes it as "misc RNA ENSBTSG00005031214.1". Lineage: Eukaryota; Metazoa; Arthropoda; Insecta; Hymenoptera; Apidae. The record is from RNAcentral.
UUUUGAUCGGUGUCCUCUCAACGGGGGGAGGAUGUUACGUUGCGUGAAAACGUCCGCGCGACGUCCUUCAUUGUCUGACCGGCAAGGUCCAAGCACCCAUAGAAAGCCCUCAAUAAACCUAAGGACCCACCAUAGUCUUUCACUUUCACUGUAUUGUAUCAACAUGUGUCUUCAGUCAAUCCGUUUGUCCUGAAGAAUUUCUUAAGCCUAAAAAUAUUUUCGAAUCACAUCUGGUUUUUAGAGAGGCCCCUGGGUUUAUUAGACGCACUUAAAAACACGGAGAAAGCGGGUGCGCACCUAUUAGGAAAAACCGAAUAGCUAUGUAACAAAACAAGCUGGUUUUUCCUAUGAACAAGAUCACCUACCAACC